This 1461-nucleotide long non-coding RNA is filed under the name Helianthus annuus (common sunflower). RNAcentral describes it as "hypothetical non coding rna". Lineage: Eukaryota; Viridiplantae; Streptophyta; Magnoliopsida; Asterales; Asteraceae. The record is from RNAcentral.
AUGAAGGAAUGUAAGGUUUGUUUGGUAAAGAUGUUAGAAUAUAAAAUAGUGGUUGGUACAUCUGUUGACUGUUGUCAACAGAUGGAUGGAAGUAGAUGUUUGAAACCACUGUUGGGUUAAAAACAAAGUUUUGGAAAGAAAACGGUGGUUACUUUUGUAAAAACAAUGGUUAAGUUUGACCUUUUUAGUCACAUAGUGGAUAAUGAAUACAUUGUUCUGUGUUGCAAAUAGUGGUUGACUAUAGUCAAACAGAGUUUUGAACCACUGAAACAGAUGUUUCACUCCUUUGAAUGGAUUUUCUUUUUUGAUGAUUUUUAAACAAUCUUUUUUUGAGAAAUGAAUAGAAAUUUUGGAAUUUUUAUAAUAACAAAUUAUUGUUUUAUUAAGAAAAUAUCUUUUUGAUGAAUUUUCAGAAAAUAUUUUUCAGAUAUUUAUUCAUGUGGUGAAAUGUGCUAGGGAAACCUUUGUUUGUGCUUUUAAAUUGCCAACAGAUGUCCCCUGCAGACAGUGGAAGUUUGUAAUGAAUCCCAAGCUUUGUAUGCUUUGGAUUUGGUACUUUCUUCCACUAUAUCAUCCCUUUGGCAAUGGUCUUUUGUGAUAAGUAGUUUUUGAACUAUUUCAAGCAUAUGUUGUUGACUCCCUGCAAGUGCUUUUACACUUGGGUCAACAGUUGUUUGACCAUUUCCAAUGAGCUGAUUAUAUCCAUGAGGAUGCCUGGUUAGUCUUGGCCUUUUGGGCAUGUGCACAGAAUCAUUAUACCUAGAAGGUACUCUGUGACAUGGUGGUUGCCCAUAGCCUCUGGGAUAUGUGUUUGAUGAUGGGGCAAUAAUGUUUGGAACAUCCUUGCAAACAUGGUUGUAGGGGCAUGGUUUAGUAGGUUUAUGUUUGUCUUGUAUAUAUUAGUAAUGGGUUGGUUAGUUAAGGUGUUCGGGUUUGAUUAGUUUGUUUAUGGGUGUACGAUUUGGGCUUGGCCCGGUUGUAACUAGGUCGCACCCUAUGUACUAUAAAUAGGGUGCACCUAGGUCUUUGAAUGGUUGCUUAUUGUUAGAGCUUUGAACGACACUUUGUACCAGACAAGUCUUUGAACUUAUGUGCAAGUCAUCAAUAACAAUCGAUUUCAUCUUAUUUUUGUUCUACACUUUCUUAGUUUUCCACAAUUUGAGUGUGGUUGUGAUAUCCGAUUGAAGAUCUAUGAACUUACAAUUGGCAUUGGAGCCUAAGAAGUCUUUCGAACGCUCGGUUUCUCCAGAUAUUACACGAAGAACAAGAUUGAGGAGUUUGCAGAUUCAUCAGUUUGUAAAAGAUUGAAAGGUUGAAGUCUGCUCUGUUUUAUUUUUGUUUUAAUCUUUGUUAUUCAACUGAUCAUCUUUCUCUAAGUUUUGAAAGGUUUUAAUUUACUGUUUGGUCGAAAUUCUGAAAUAAUCAGAACAUUUUUUAUAGAACAGUUUGAAGACUGAUUGA